This 440-nucleotide ribosomal RNA is filed under the name uncultured bacterium. RNAcentral describes it as "bacterial SSU rRNA". It matches the Rfam family "Bacterial small subunit ribosomal RNA", at positions 338 to 771 of the family's 1533-position model. The record is from RNAcentral.
CCUACGGGUGGCAGCAGUGGGGAAUCUUGGUCAAUGGGCGCAAGCCUGAACCAGCGACGCCGCGUGAGUGAUGAAGGCCUUCGGGUUGUAAAGCUCUGUGGGGAGGGACGAAAGAGCACGUUCGAAUAGGGCGUGUGUUGACGGUACCUCCUUAGCAAGCACCGGCUAACUCUGUGCCAGCAGCCGCGGUAAGACAGAGGGUGCAAACGUUGCUCGGAAUCACUGGGCGUAAAGGGCGUGUAGGCGGGAAGGAAAGUCAGAUGUGAAAUCCCUGGGCUCAACCCAGGAACAGCAUUUGAAACUCCCUUUCUUGAGUACCGGAGAGGAAGGUGGAAUUCCUGGUGUAGAGGUGAAAUUCGUAGAUAUCAGGAGGAACACCGGUGGCGAAGGCGGCCUUCUGGACGGUAACUGACGCUGAGACGCGAAAGCGUGGGGAGCAA